CUGUUUAUCAAAAACAUUUCUUUAAGAAUUUAUUUAAAGUAAAACCUGCUCAAUGUAAUAAUAAAUAGCCGCAGUUUACUGUGCUAAGGUAGCAUAAUCAUUAGCUUUUUAAUUAAAAGAUAGAAUGAAAGGUUAAAUGAAUAUAAAUUGUUUCUAAAAUAUAAAACUAAUUUAAAAUAAAAGUUAAAAUUCUUUUAUAUCUUAAGAAAGACGAUAAGACCCUAAUAAACUUUUACAUUUAGCUGGGGCGGCAAAUUAAAUAAACCUUAAUAAUAUAUACACACAAAUCUAAUAAAAUUAAAUCAAUAAA
RNAcentral lists this ribosomal RNA (310 nucleotides) under Carapoia paraguaensis. RNAcentral's name for it is "partial 16S ribosomal RNA". The record is from RNAcentral. Lineage: Eukaryota; Metazoa; Arthropoda; Arachnida; Araneae; Pholcidae.